Molecule: long non-coding RNA, 930 nt
Organism: Hyla sarda
Lineage: Eukaryota; Metazoa; Chordata; Amphibia; Anura; Hylidae
Exons: 3
Source: RefSeq, a predicted model, not a curated record
CACGGAAUGAGGGGAUUGGCGGGCACGGACCUAUGGGCGCAGCAAACAUGCAGGAGACCGGCCAGAAGAGUAUAGGCCCAUCACCCGACCCCUCACCUAUGGGAGCUGAGAAGACGUAUUCGGGAACACGUCUUGGGUAUUGAAGCUGCUAAAAAUGAAGAUGACAUGAAUCAAUUGAAGACGAUACCAAGACACUUUAAGGAGUACCACUCAUGUGACAGCAGUCUCUUGAAGCUUGGUCUGUGUGUUUUUUAGAUCCUGGAAGAAGUGUCAGCUUGAUGUGGACCGGAAGGCACUAGUGAAGCACCUUUCAUGGCCAGAUGACUUAUUAAUUUUGUCAUGAUAUGGCCCUUAUUGUCCCAUUUUAAUAUUUAGUAUGCUACCCCUAGGGGUAUGAUGGGUGGGGCAUGCUUUACAAAAAAUGUUUUAUUAUAAUAAUUUUCAUGAUAAUAACUUUAUAACUAGAUCGGUAUAUGUAUUGAUAUUUAUUAUAGUUGCUUCUAUAUAUUGCACUUUAUUCUAGUGCACUUUUUUGAAUAAUAGCUUAUCUAUACAGCACUUUAUCUCAGUACACUGUAUGAUUACAAGUAACAACGAUUGAUAUUUAUAUUUAUCAAUUUUAUUUAUUUUUGUCACGAUGCCGGCUGGCAGGAGGUGGAUCCUCUGUGCCAGAGAGGGAUUGGCGUGGACCGUGCUAGUGGACCGGUUCUAAGGUACUACUGGUGUUCACCAGAGCCCGCCGCAAAGCGGGAUGGUCUUGCUGCAGCGGUAGUAACCAGGUCGUAUCCACUAGCAACGGCUCAACCUCUCUGACUGCUGAAGAUAGGCGCGGUACAAGGGAGUAGACAAAAGCAAGGUCGGACGUAGCAGAAGGUCGGGGCAGGCAGCAAGGAUCGUAGUCAGGGGCAACGGCAGGAGGUCUGGAACACA